RNAcentral lists this ribosomal RNA (497 nucleotides) under uncultured bacterium. RNAcentral's name for it is "partial 16S ribosomal RNA". It matches the Rfam family "Bacterial small subunit ribosomal RNA", at positions 28 to 507 of the family's 1533-position model. The record is from RNAcentral.
GAUGAACGCUGGCGGCGUGCCUAAUACAUGCCAGUCGAGCGAACGGACGAGAAGCUUGCUUCUCUGAUGUUAGCGGCGGACGGGUGAGUAACACGUGGAUAACCUACCUAUAAGACUGGGAUAACUUCGGGGAACCGGAGCUAAUACCGGAUAAUAUUUUGAACCGCAUGGUUCAAAAGUGAAAGACGGUCUUGCUGUCACUUAUAGAUGGAUCCGCGCUGCAUUAGCUAGUUGGUAAGGUAACGGCUUACCAAGGCAACGAUGCAUAGCCGACCUGAGAGGGUGAUCGGCCACACUGGAACUGAGACACGGUCCAGACUCCUACGGGAGGCAGCAGUAGGGAAUCUUCCGCAAUGGGCGAAAGCCUGACGGAGCAACGCCGCGUGAGUGAUGAAGGUCUUCGGAUCGUAAAACUCUGUUAUUAGGGAAGAACAUAUGUGUAAGUAACUGUGCACAUCUUGACGGUACCUAAUCAGAAAGCCACGGCUAACUACGUG